RNAcentral lists this ribosomal RNA (473 nucleotides) under Salmonella enterica subsp. enterica serovar Tennessee. Its description in RNAcentral is "partial 23S ribosomal RNA". It matches the Rfam family "Bacterial large subunit ribosomal RNA", at positions 1262 to 1735 of the family's 2925-position model. Lineage: Bacteria; Pseudomonadati; Pseudomonadota; Gammaproteobacteria; Enterobacterales; Enterobacteriaceae. The record is from RNAcentral.
UGUGAGGGUUGCUGGAGGUAUCAGAAGUGCGAAUGCUGACAUAAGUAACGAUAAAGCGGGUGAAAAGCCCGCUCGCCGGAAGACCAAGGGUUCCUGUCCAACGUUAAUCGGGGCAGGGUGAGUCGACCCCUAAGGCGAGGCCGAAAGGCGUAGUCGAUGGGAAACGGGUUAAUAUUCCCGUACUUGGUGUUACUGCGAAGGGGGGACGGAGAAGGCUAUGUUGGCCGGGCGACGGUUGUCCCGGUUUAAGCGUGUAGGUGUGUGUUCCAGGUAAAUCCGGUUCACUUUAACACUGAGGCGUGACGACGAGGCACUACGGUGCUGAAGCAACAAAUGCCCUGCUUCCAGGAAAAGCCUCUAAGCAUCAGGUAACAUCAAAUCGUACCCCAAACCGACACAGGUGGUCAGGUAGAGAAUACCAAGGCGCUUGAGAGAACUCGGGUGAAGGAACUAGGCAAAAUGGUGCCGUAACU